GCCCCUUGGAAGCCAAGAAUAUGAGGAAGUCUUCUUCCUUCGCGCCUUCUUCUUCCUUACGCUCCAGGGCAGCCUGACAGAGCCGCUCGAAGGCUCUGCUGGCCGCGGCUAGCCGGUUUACCCAUUCCACUGGACCCAGCCACCACCCACUCCUGCUGUCUGGUAAACUUUCCUCCUGUUUCUGGGGCCAUGUCUGGCAUGAAGAGUUUUUACUGAAUAGUUUUCAUUGAUCGCAGGCCAGUUCUCUCUUCUCACCCCUUUAUUGAAGUGACAGUGAAAAUCUAAGUGAGAAAGCACUGUUACAGGGGCUGAAAAGGCUACAGGAGACCAGAGCCAUUGACUUUUAUUUUUAAAAUGAAGAUCUCUUUUACUUGAAGGAACUUAAGAAUUUUGGCAUUCAAAUAGGGGCUGGAAGACUUGAAAGCAGUAGAAAUUUCACCACAGGUGAUAGGAAAGGAUGAUCACGAAAUGAAUAUCUCCUGACUUGCACACCUAGUGAGCAGAGCCAGGAAGGACCUCCUUCACCUUAGCAUUUGGAACAGGCUGCAAAGUUCAUUCUUCCUCAUAGCAGCCCCUGCAUUCAGUUUGGUUUAGUUGUUUUAUGUGGUUUCUAGCCUGAUUUUUUUUUUCAGGGUGCAGCAGAAGUCUCAGGUAGCUGAGAAGUUCAUGGAAUCUUCUUAUUUGCUACACCUUUCACUACUGCUUGUGAUAUAGUGCAGGGUUGGGAUGUGCAGACAUUUCUCAAGUGCACUGUGUACCUACACAGCAUGCUGCAAUUUGGCUACUGAAGUCAAGAGAAACUGGUUUGAACAACUACUGAGUGUAACAUAGGAAGCGCAUUUCAUUUGAUAACAGGAACACAGCUUUUGUGCUAAUAAAAUGCUUUGAAAAU
RNAcentral lists this long non-coding RNA (892 nucleotides) under Homo sapiens (human). RNAcentral's name for it is "HSALNT0362562". The record is from RNAcentral. Lineage: Eukaryota; Metazoa; Chordata; Mammalia; Primates; Hominidae.